AGGGGCAACCCAGGCAGAGAGCUGAGAACACAGGGGCAAUAAGCCUCGCUAUCACCUCCACCCCCAAGUGCUUGGCUCCCAAGGGACAGCUCUAAAAUCCCCAGAAUCUCAGGCUGGUGGGUCCAGCUGAGAAUCCUAGUUUUCACUUUCUCCUCCCAAAAAGGAAAGAACCUUGGUCACUAAAUUCUAUGCCUUCUGGAAAUCACUCUGCUAAUGACUUCCCGAAUGAUCAAUUGAGGCCAACAGCUGGCCCAGCCCUGCGUGGAGCAGUAAGAAACCCUCAUCUGUCAGAGUUAAGGGGCCUGAAUGGGUACAGGUCACAUUCUUGGAGCUCAAGGUGACAGGCCAGAGCCCAGGUCCCCAGGACAGUGCAGCACCUUGUCCAGGCGGGCCUCCCGUUUCUGGCUCCGUGCUGAGCUUCCUGGAGAAGGGGAAGGUAAGAUACAUGGAAGAGAUGGAGGUGGUGUGCACCAGACCUACCUGGACCUCACUCAUCACUUGGGGAGCUGGUUAAACAUGCAGGUCCCCAGGCCUCUGUCUUGGAGGACCUGAGGUUCGG
This 559-nucleotide non-coding RNA is filed under the name Pongo abelii (Sumatran orangutan). Lineage: Eukaryota; Metazoa; Chordata; Mammalia; Primates; Hominidae. The record is from RNAcentral.